Molecule: ribosomal RNA, 522 nt
Filed under: uncultured Glomus
Lineage: Eukaryota; Fungi; Glomeromycota; Glomeromycetes; Glomerales; Glomeraceae
Description: SSU rRNA
Rfam family: Eukaryotic small subunit ribosomal RNA
Source: RNAcentral
AGCAGCCGCGGUAAUUCCAGCUCCAAUAGCGUAUAUUAAAGUUGUUGCAGUUAAAAAGCUCGUAGUUGAAUUUCGGGGUCAGUAGGUUGGUCAUGCCUUCGGUAUGUACUGGUCUCACUGAUUCCUCCUUCUUGAAGAUCCGUAAUGUCAUUAAUUUGGUGUUGCGGGGAAUCAGGACUGUUACUUUGAAAAAAUUAGAGUGUUUAAAGCAGGCUAACGCUUGAAUACAUUAGCAUGGAAUAAUGAAAUAGGACGUUUGAUCCUAUUUUGUUGGUUUCUAGGAUUGACGUAAUGAUUAAUAGGGAUAGUUGGGGGCAUUAGUAUUCAAUUGUCAGAGGUGAAAUUCUUGGAUUUAUUGAAGACUAACUACUGCGAAAGCAUUUGCCAAGGAUGUUUUCAUUAAUCAAGAACGAAAGUUAGGGGAUCGAAGACGAUCAGAUACCGUCGUAGUCUUAACCAUAAACUAUGCCGACUAGGGAUCGGAUGAUGUUAAUUUUUUAAUGACUCAUUCGGCGCCUUACG